RNAcentral lists this ribosomal RNA (254 nucleotides) under uncultured bacterium. RNAcentral's name for it is "partial 16S ribosomal RNA". It matches the Rfam family "Bacterial small subunit ribosomal RNA", at positions 524 to 776 of the family's 1533-position model. The record is from RNAcentral.
UACGUAGGGUGCAAGCGUUAAUCGGAAUUACUGGGCGUAAAGCGUGCGCGAGCGGCUUUUGCAAGACAGAUGUGAAAUCCCCGGGCUCAACCUGGGAACUGCAUUUGUGACUGCAAGGCUGGAGUACGGUAGAGGGGGAUGGAAUUCCGCGUGUAGCAGUGAAAUGCGUAGAUAUGCGGAGGAACACCGAUGGCGAAGGCAAUCCCCUGGGCCUGCACUGACGCUCAUGCACGAAAGCGUGGGGAGCAAACAGG